RNAcentral lists this ribosomal RNA (633 nucleotides) under uncultured bacterium. RNAcentral describes it as "bacterial SSU rRNA". It matches the Rfam family "Bacterial small subunit ribosomal RNA", at positions 144 to 794 of the family's 1533-position model. The record is from RNAcentral.
CAACAGUUAGAAAUGACUGCUAAUACCGCAUAUGCCUAAGUAUCACAUGAUACAAUAGGGAAAGGAGCAAUCCGCUGAUAGAUGGGCUUGCGUCUGAUUAGCUAGUUGGUGGGGUAAUGGCCUACCAAGGCAACGAUCAGUAGCCGGACUGAGAGGUUGAACGGCCACAUUGGGACUGAGAUACGGCCCAGACUCCUACGGGAGGCAGCAGUCGGGAAUAUUGCGCAAUGGAGGAAACUCUGACGCAGUGACGCCGCGUGCAGGAAGAAGGUUUUCGGAUUGUAAACUGCUUUAGACAGGGAAGAUAAUGACAGUACCUGUAGAAUAAGCUCCGGCUAACUACGUGCCAGCAGCCGCGGUAAUACGUAGGGAGCAAGCGUUAUCCGGAUUUAUUGGGUGUAAAGGGUGCGUAGACGGGAAUGCAAGUUAGUUGUGAAAUCCCUCGGCUUAACUGAGGAACUGCAACUAAAACUACAUUUCUUGAGUGCUGGAGAGGAAAGUGGAAUUCCUAGUGUAGCGGUGAAAUGCGUAGAUAUUAGGAGGAACACCAGUGGCGAAGGCGACUUUCUGGACAGUAACUGACGUUGAGGCACGAAAGUGUGGGGAGCAAACAGGAUUAGAUACCCUGGUAGU